GAAUGCUGAUAGAAAGUCCCUGCUCAGAGCGGCGCUAGAGUUGUAGUUUACGAAGCAAUAUUAACACGUACUUUUCUUUACAAAAUUCAGGUGGCUGACAUUACGGGAUGCUGACUUGAGAGUUAUAUAUGAUGCUUCUGUAAGGAAUGUGACCUGCUCUUCUAUAUUCGUAAGGUGCACAGAUCUGGUCUCCAUAGCUCAAAAGGGAUUUCACUCGGAAGCAAGGUUUGAUUGGAUUGGUUGGCGCUUCUGGCUUGACUAGUCAUUCGGAAAACCAAGCAACAUGAAAAGCUCAGCGCUCUCCGCAAGAUAUCUUGCUCCCGUCCUACUUGCAUACACACCAAGGAAUGACGUGGAGCGUCCAUCUUUGAUCCUGGAAAGUAGCUAUGAAGACUAUGCAACGGAGUUGUGCACUGUCGAUGGAUUAGAAACUCCGUACCGG
Rhipicephalus microplus (southern cattle tick) is the source of this 442-nucleotide long non-coding RNA. Lineage: Eukaryota; Metazoa; Arthropoda; Arachnida; Ixodida; Ixodidae. The record is from RefSeq and is a predicted model, not a curated record.